ACAUGAUGUGACUCUGCGGAACUGACGUUUUGAUGAGAGAAACAGGGUCUGA
RNAcentral lists this unclassified non-coding RNA (52 nucleotides) under Sulfolobus acidocaldarius DSM 639. RNAcentral's name for it is "noncoding RNA Sac-sR23". The record is from RNAcentral. Lineage: Archaea; Thermoproteati; Thermoproteota; Thermoprotei; Sulfolobales; Sulfolobaceae.